Molecule: unclassified non-coding RNA, 395 nt
Filed under: soil metagenome
Description: partial contains 5.8S ribosomal RNA, internal transcribed spacer 2, and large subunit ribosomal RNA
Rfam family: 5.8S ribosomal RNA (bases 1-120)
Source: RNAcentral
GAUGAAGAACGCAGCGAAUUGCGAUAAGUAAUGUGAAUUGCAGAAUUCAGUGAAUCAUCGAAUCUUUGAACGCACCUUGCGCCUUUUGGUAUUCCGAAAGGCACACCUGUUUGAGCGUCAUGAAUACCUCAAUCUCCAUCUUUUCUUCGGAUUGAUGGGUGACUUGGAUGUUGAGCCCUGCUGGUAUGCUAUAUCAGCUGGCUUUAAACUUAUUAGCCGGCUCUGUACUGGAUCGGUUUGACUCGACGUGAUAAUAUUAUCGUUGAGGAUGCAUGUCUCAUGCAGCCGGAAAGUAUCAAAGCAGCUUCUAGCUUGCCUUUAGUGCACUUUUACAUUUUAGACCUCAGAUCAGGUGGGACUACCCGCUGAACUUAAGCAUAUCAAUAAGCGGAGGA